CAGCGCCACGAGUGGGAACUACAAUUAUUGGGCCUAAAGCGUCCGUAGCCGGUUUAGUAAAUUUCUUGUGAAAUUGUUGAGCUUAACUUAACAACGUGCAGGAAAGACUGCUAAACUUGGGACUGGGAGGAGUUAGAAGUAUUUUUGGGGUAGCGGUAAAAUGUUAUAAUCCCAACGAGACUACCUAUGGCGAAAGCAUCUAACUAGAACAGGUCCGACGGUGAGGGACGAAAGCUAGGGGAGCAAAACGGAUUAGAGACCCGAGUAGUCC
Molecule: ribosomal RNA, 271 nt
Filed under: uncultured archaeon
Lineage: Archaea
Description: partial 16S ribosomal RNA
Rfam family: Archaeal small subunit ribosomal RNA
Source: RNAcentral